Molecule: ribosomal RNA, 465 nt
Filed under: uncultured bacterium
Lineage: Bacteria
Description: partial 16S ribosomal RNA
Rfam family: Bacterial small subunit ribosomal RNA
Source: RNAcentral
GACGAACGCUGGCGGCGUGCUUAACACAUGCAAGUCGAACGGAAAGGCCCUGCUUGCAGGGUACUCGCGUGGCGAACGGGUGAGUAACACGUGGGUGAUCUGCCCUGCACUUCGGGAUAAGCCUGGGAAACUGGGUCUAAUACCGGAUAGGAGCCAUUUUUAGUGUGAUGGUUGGAAAGUUUUUUUGGUGUAGGAUGAGCUCGCGGCCUAUCAGCUUGUUGGUGGGGGAAUGGCCUACCAAGGCGGCGACGGGUAGCCGGCCGGAGAGGGUGGACGGCCACCUUGGGACGUGGAUACGGCCCAGACUCCUACGGGAGGCAGCAGGGGGGAAUAUUGCACAAUGGGCGCAAGCCUGAUGCAGCGACGCCGCGUGGGGGAUGACGGCCUUCGGGUUGUAAACUCCUUUCGCUAGGGACGAAGCUUUUUGUGACGGUACCUAGAUAAGAAGCACCGGCUAACUACGUG